GAAUUGCGAUAAGUAAUGUGAAUUGCAGAAUUCCGUGAAUCAUUAAAUCUUUGAACGCACAUUGCACCUUUUGGAAUUCCUCAAGGUAUGCCUGUUCGAGAAUCAGUUUAAUCAUCAAGCCUAUUAUUGAAAAAUAAUAGGCUUGGACUUGGGACUUCUCGAUAGAGAUCUCUUAAUAAUAUUUGUUGCCUUGCUCUAACGAGAUUAUAUGAAAGGCAUGACCAUUGAACGAAAGUUCUUACGAUUGCAACUAGUAUCUUUGAGUUAUUUUAAGCGCACAGAAACUAUACGAAGGCCAAAAACCUUUAAGACUUGAUCUCGAAUCAGACAAGACUACCCGCUGAACUUAA
This 350-nucleotide unclassified non-coding RNA is filed under the name uncultured fungus. Its description in RNAcentral is "sequence contains ITS1". The stretch from base 1 to 105 matches the Rfam family "5.8S ribosomal RNA", at positions 50 to 154 of the family's 154-position model. The record is from RNAcentral. Lineage: Eukaryota; Fungi.